GUGAGGAAUAUUGGUCAAUGGGCGCAAGCCUGAACCAGCCAUCCCGCGUGCAGGAAGACGGCGCUAUGCGUUGUAAACUGCUUUUCCAGGGAGAGAAACUUGCGCACGUGUUGCGCAAUUGACGGUACCCUGGGAAUAAGCAUCGGCUAACUCCGUGCCAGCAGCCGCGGUAAUACGGAGGAUGCGAGCGUUAUCCGGAUUCAUUGGGUUUAAAGGGUGCGUAGGCGGACUAUUAAGUCAGUGGUGAAAUCCUGCAGCUUAACUGCAGAACUGCCAUUGAUACUGAUAGCCUUGAGUUUGGUUAAGGUAGGCGGAAUGUGUAAUGUAGCGGUGAAAUGCUUAGAUAUUACACAGAACACCAAUUGCGAAGGCAGCUUACUGGUCCAUUAUUGACGCUGAGGCACGAAAGCGUGGGGAUCGAACAGGAUUAGAAACCCGGGUAGUCC
This 446-nucleotide ribosomal RNA is filed under the name uncultured bacterium. RNAcentral's name for it is "partial 16S ribosomal RNA". It matches the Rfam family "Bacterial small subunit ribosomal RNA", at positions 354 to 796 of the family's 1533-position model. The record is from RNAcentral.